UGGGGAAUAUUGCACAAUGGGCGCAAGCCUGAUGCAGCCAUGCCGCGUGUGUGAAGAAGGCCUUCGGGUUGUAAAGCACUUUCAGCGAGGAGGAAGGUGGUGAACUUAAUACGUUCAUCAAUUGACGUUACUCGCAGAAGAAGCACCGGCUAACUCCGUGCCAGCAGCCGCGGUAAUACGGAGGGUGCAAGCGUUAAUCGGAAUUACUAGGCGUAAAGCGCACGCAGGCGGUUUGUUAAGUCAGAUGUGAAAUCCCCGGGCUCAACCUGGGAACUGCAUUUGAAACUGGCAAGCUAGAGUCUCGUAGAGGGGGGUAGAAAUUCCAGGUGUAGCGGUGAAAUGCGUAGAGAUCUGGAGGAAUACCGGUGGCGAAAGGCGGCCCCCUGGACGAAGACUGACGCUCAGGUGCGAAAAGCGUGGGGAGCAAAACAGGAUUAGAUACCCUGGUAGUCCACGCUGUAAAACGAUGUCGAUUUUGGAGGUUGUGCCCCUUGAGGCGUGGCUUCCGGAGCUAACGCGUUAAAUCGACCGCCUGGGGAGUACGG
RNAcentral lists this ribosomal RNA (545 nucleotides) under uncultured bacterium. Its description in RNAcentral is "partial 16S ribosomal RNA". It matches the Rfam family "Bacterial small subunit ribosomal RNA", at positions 355 to 885 of the family's 1533-position model. The record is from RNAcentral.